ACGCACGCUGGCGGCGUGCUUCACACAUGCCAGUCGCACGGAAAGGCCCUGCUUUUGUGGGGUGCUCGAGUGGCGAACGGGUGAGUAACACGUGAGUAACCUGCCCUUGACUUUGGGAUAGCUUCAGGAAACUGGGGCUAAUACCGGAUAGGAGCUCCUGCUGCAUGGUGGGGGUUGGAAAGUUUCGGCGGUUGGGGAUGGACUCGCGGCUUAUCAGCUUGUUGGUGGGGUAGUGGCUUACCAAGGCUUUGACGGGUAGCCGGCCUGAGAGGGUGACCGGCCACAUUGGGACUGAGAUACGGCCCAGACUCCUACGGGAGGCAGCAGUGGGGAAUAUUGCACAAUGGGCGGAAGCCUGAUGCAGCAACGCCGCGUGCGGGAUGACGGCCUUCGGGUUGUAAACCGCUUUCGCCUGUGACGAAGCGUGAGUGACGGUAAUGGGUAAAGAAGCACCGGCUAACUACGUG
Molecule: ribosomal RNA, 467 nt
Filed under: uncultured bacterium
Lineage: Bacteria
Description: partial 16S ribosomal RNA
Rfam family: Bacterial small subunit ribosomal RNA
Source: RNAcentral